This 138-nucleotide small RNA is filed under the name Clostridiales bacterium CHKCI001. Its description in RNAcentral is "Clostridiales-1 RNA". It matches the Rfam family "Clostridiales-1 RNA". The record is from Rfam by way of RNAcentral. Lineage: Bacteria; Bacillati; Bacillota; Clostridia; Eubacteriales.
UAAAAGUGUCGUCAAUAGACGGACAGUGCUGGCUGGAUAUUAGACGACCUGACCUGUAUGAGCAAGUAAGGCAUUUACCUGGAUUGCGAAUACGGGCAGCGAUGUCGAGAGUGCGUAGUAUGGAGACAUCGACUUUUA